This 507-nucleotide ribosomal RNA is filed under the name uncultured bacterium. Its description in RNAcentral is "bacterial SSU rRNA". It matches the Rfam family "Bacterial small subunit ribosomal RNA", at positions 29 to 510 of the family's 1533-position model. The record is from RNAcentral.
AACGAACGCUGGCGGCGUGGAUUAGGCAUGCAAGUCGAACGAGAUCCGGAGCGUAGCAAUAUGUUCCGGUGAGAGUGGCGGAAGGGUGAGUAACACAUGGGCAACCUGCCCUGAAGUUGGGGAUAACCUGUCGAAAGAUGGGCUAAUACCGAAUGUGGUCGUGCCGUGCAUGCGGCACUAUCCAAAGCUGGGGACCGAGAGGCCUGGCGCUUCAGGAUGGGCCCGUGUCCUAUCAGCUUGUUGGUGAGGUAACGGCUCACCAAGGCGACGACGGGUAGCUGGUCUGAGAGGACGACCAGCCACACUGGAACUGAGACACGGCCCAGACUCCUACGGGAGCAGCAGUGGGGAAUUUUGGACAAUGGGGAAACCCUGAUCCAGCCAUGCCGCGUGCAGGAUGAAGGCCUUCGGGUUGUAAACGUGCUUUUGUACGGUAACGAAAGGUCCUUUACUAAUAAAGAGGCUCAUGACGGUACCGUAAGAAUAAGCACCGCUAACUACGUGACC